GAACUUUCCAGAGAUGGAUUGGUGCCUUCGGGAACUGUGAGACAGGUGCUGCAUGGCUGUCGUCAGCUCGUGUUGUGAAAUGUUGGGUUAAGUCCCGCAACGAGCGCAACCCUUAUCCUUUGUUGCCAGCGGUCCGGCCGGGAACUCAAAGGAGACUGCCAGUGAUAAACUGGAGGAAGGUGGGGAUGACGUCAAGUCAUCAUGGCCCUUACGACCAGGGCUACACACGUGCUACAAUGGCGCAUACAAAGAGAAGCGACCUCGCGAGAGCAAGCGGACCUCAUAAAGUGCGUCGUAGUCCGGAUUGGAGUCUGCAACUCGACUCCAUGAAGUCGGAAUCGCUAGUAAUCGUGGAUCAGAAUGCCACGGUGAAUACGUUCCCGGGCCUUGUACACACCGCCCGUCACACCAUGGGAGUGGGUUGCAAAAGAAGUAGGUAGCUUAACCUUCGGGAGGGCGCUUACCACUUUGUGAUU
RNAcentral lists this ribosomal RNA (476 nucleotides) under Salmonella enterica subsp. enterica. RNAcentral describes it as "bacterial SSU rRNA". It matches the Rfam family "Bacterial small subunit ribosomal RNA", at positions 993 to 1469 of the family's 1533-position model. The record is from RNAcentral. Lineage: Bacteria; Pseudomonadati; Pseudomonadota; Gammaproteobacteria; Enterobacterales; Enterobacteriaceae.